CAGUCGCCACGGUAAAACGUAGGUGGCAAGCGCUGUCCGGAAUUAUUGGGCGUAAAGGGCUCGCAGGCGGUUUCUUAAGUCUGAUGUGAAAGCCCCCGGCUCAACCGGGGAGGGUCAUUGGAAACUGGGAAACUUGAGUGCAGAAGAGGAGAGUGGAAUUCCACGUGUAGCGGUGAAAUGCGUAGAGAUGUGGAGGAACACCAGUGGCGAAGGCGACUCUCUGGUCUGUAACUGACGCUGAGGAGCGAAAGCGUGGGGAGCGAACAGGGUUAGAUACCCGCGUAGUCCCUGUCUCUUAUAC
This 301-nucleotide ribosomal RNA is filed under the name uncultured bacterium. RNAcentral's name for it is "partial 16S ribosomal RNA". It matches the Rfam family "Bacterial small subunit ribosomal RNA", at positions 509 to 807 of the family's 1533-position model. The record is from RNAcentral.